AAUGCAUGACUUUGUCAAUUAUGUGAUUUCAUAAUUGCAAGAAAUACAUAUCCAUAAUAUAUAUUAAGCGUGAUUUUAUAUUGCAGCAUAAUUGCAAGGAACUAUAGAUGCAGCAUAAAUGUAUUCUGAGGUAUCCGCAACAUCGCAUUGGCCGUAAUUUCCUGCCAUAUAAAAGUUUGCAGCAUAACCGCAACUGCAACCACGAUUUAAAGUAUGCUAGUAAGCCAACUAUAACAAACAAACAGUGAAUAUGGAAGAUGCCGAUGAGAUGCUAAAUAUUAGGAAGCAUUAGAGAAAAGCCAGAAAAUGAAGCAGCAACACUCAAAAGUUAUAAUGUUGAUUGUUGAUACUCUAAGCUAAACCAGACAACUGAAGGUAGCUCUGUUCUAAGAGUUGCUGCUUGGAUCUCAUUUGACUCUUCAUUGUAUAACUCCUUCCAGCAUUCACUUACAGCUUCAAUGAAGUGCUUAGAUACUACACUUGAUCAAUAACUCAUUCUCAUCACUUCAAUUUACCUACAUGACAACAUCACAGGUUGAUUGGCGACGUCCGUCCAUAUCUUCUGGUCCAAACUGUAUCAUGCGUUGUCAUACCUCUUGUGGCCAUUUUAUUGCUUCCAAUGUACACACAUUCAACGUAUUGGCUAUGGGAUGCAGAUUGCCUGCAGCAUCAAAAUUAAAUAAGUAACAACUCUUGGCAUUUCACCACAUGAACCUUCGUUCUCAAUAAGGAUUAUUGAGAUUGUGCGGCGGUCCAUGAUGACGGUCACCACUAAUAGCAGCGCCGCAUUAAGGAUCCUUUCCAACUUCCCGCUAUCUCGGAACCCUAGCACAAGACUCUCUUUCUUCGAUUUCCUUUUUGCUGUUUGAGAAUUCGAGAAACCUUAUGCUGAAUGUUUCUUGUUUAACUUUAAUUGAGGACUUAAACCCCUAAGUUGUGAUGUUGAUGUGUUGAAACUCACUGAAGAUCCCAGUGGAUUCGACUUGGUUGAUCUGUAUGUGGAGCACGAGGUUGAUAACCCUGACAUAAUAGACGAGGCAGAGGCAUUUCAGGGAGUUGAUGUUGUUGAUGAUCUUAAAGUUAACAAUGAUAAGGAGAAUAAUGUUGUAGUUAAUGAUGAUGUUGAAUGGUGGCCUGCCCGCUCCAAGUUGCGAGUUGGCCCAUGGGACUUGUGCGAAGGCACCUGUCUUAUGGGUCUUAGACAGGAGGGUAUAGCGUGAGGCUGGUUUCACAGAGCAGCGAACACUUCCUACUCUUGACAGUGGAAGGAUCACAAGCCGUUGUACCUCCAGUCCACAACACCUGGGUAAGUUCGUUCUUCUUGUGGCACCAACCAUUGAGUUUCACCAAAUUUCUAUGCCUCAAUUGACUUCUGCUGAGUAUUGCUUUAUACCACCUUGGCCAAGCUUUUGUGUCUCUUCAAAGUUGUUUGUUGCAUUCAACAGCUCAUAAUAACUCAUCUUCGUAGUCCAACAUUCAUUUGGAAUUCAUCAUCCAUAUCCAGAUCAGAUAAGCAUAUCUUCAUGAAAAUCAUAAUCUGGUUGGCUUGUACUAAAAGACCAUGACAUCAGCAUAUGUUCCUCAUCUACAGUUCCUGUUGAAGCUGAUAUGCCAACAAUAACAUAUUCUGGUAAGUGCUCUCUUAGAUCAAUGAUGUGUGAAAAGUUUUGUGGCUCUUGCCCUUCAUUCAAUAUGUAUCUAGUGCUCUCUUACUUUACACCUGGUGUAUCCAGAUUGUCGAAUUAAUUAAGAUCAGAUGGAGCAGUGGCUUUCAUUUUCUACAGUUUAGAUGACUAAGGAAUCGGUUAUGAAAAAAUUGAAUUGCUCCACUUAGGAAUAUAACAUUCUUGGAAUCAUACACUUGUAGCCAAUUUUAUCCUAUCAAUCUGCAGAAGUAAACAUAACAUAUGUAUUGAUCUAGUUAAAGGAAACAAAUUUGAACUAGGUUUGGUGGGGUGUGCCCGGCUAUUGCAACAGUGCAACGCAAAAGCGACACUUGAGAGACCCAAUAGCAAGCUAUUGAAGUGGACUCUCCCCCUCAAGAAAUAAAUUUAAUAUCGUGUGAACCAUUGGCUCACAUAUCAGAUAUUAAACUGAUAAGAACAGAUACUACACUUGAUCUUAGCCAAAAGGCCGAGAAAGGUAUGAGUUGAAAUACAUGCUUGUUGUGUUUUUUAUAAUUGACAUCUGUUAUGUUUCUUACUUCACUAACCGAGGUGGGACUCUUAUGCAGCAAAUUAGAACAUUAGGUUUCAUAACUGCAAACUUGCUAUUAUAUCAUAAUACAAGUUGAAGAUCUCUACACUCUCAUUUCCUUCCUCUUGAUUCUAAAUAUUUUCACUUCGUGAGUAAACAUCAAGACCUUACUCACAUUUGACAGCAAAAUCUACUUUGUAAAUUAGCUUGUUUGCCUAUAAUAUUUUCUAUACUAGUGCUCCUAAUUGGUAGUUUGGUUGAAGUGAACACCAUUUUUAUGUCCACGUGUUUAUCAUUUAUUUAAGCAAAAUCAUUUCUAUAUGUCAGCUAUACUGCAUCAUUAGUUGGAAGUCAUAUUCAUACUGAUUAAGUCAAAAUGUUCAACAUCAACAAUGUAUUUCCCAACUUCUGUGAGAUUGAUCAACAAAAGGGUGCACGCUGGUACUGAUUGUUGGUGGUGAUCUAUCAUAUAUUAAAUGCAUUGUGAAAGGAGAAAAGGAGUAUCUUUGAAUCUAGUAUUUCUCUUGGAUCAAUGAUUUCCAUUUGAUAGCCGUAGUAACCAACUGGAGUAUCAUGCAUUGUCAUACCUUUUAUUGCAGGUUCUUUGGUGACGUCCGUCCAUAUCUUCUGGUCCAAACUGUAUCAUGCCUUUUCGUACCUCUUAUGGCCAUUUUGUUGCCUCCAAUGUACAUACAUUCAACGCAUAUGGACUGCAGGUUUGGAUAUUAUGAUAUCAUUUGAAUUAGUGUUCCUAUCAACACAAGUAUGAUGUAGCUUGCUAUUAUGUAACAUUAACUAAACUAAGAGGGGGAUUGUAUACUUCACAUUUAUUUUUUGCUUCAUGCAAAGAUUGCCUGCAGCUUCAAAGAUUUUAGUGUAAGUCUUCCUUAAGAGAGCUCACGGAACAAAGAAAUCAGUUAGUGAUUAAACAUCAAGACAUUGCUAGUUCUGUUCAAGUGAAAACCAUUUUUUAUAUAAAAAUGAUAGCUGCUUGUUAUGGCAGAACAAUCAAAAUUAUUGCAGCUUUAAUUAACCAAAGUGUGAAUUCUUUAUUCAACGCGCAGAAUAACAACUUCAUUGGUAAACUAUGUUAUU
Molecule: long non-coding RNA, 3291 nt
Organism: Lathyrus oleraceus (garden pea)
Lineage: Eukaryota; Viridiplantae; Streptophyta; Magnoliopsida; Fabales; Fabaceae
Exons: 7
Source: RefSeq, a predicted model, not a curated record